RNAcentral lists this ribosomal RNA (438 nucleotides) under uncultured Hyphomicrobiales bacterium. RNAcentral describes it as "bacterial SSU rRNA". It matches the Rfam family "Bacterial small subunit ribosomal RNA", at positions 968 to 1402 of the family's 1533-position model. The record is from RNAcentral. Lineage: Bacteria; Pseudomonadati; Pseudomonadota; Alphaproteobacteria; Hyphomicrobiales.
ACCUUACCCAGCCCUUGACAUCCCGAUCAGGAUUAUCAGAGAUGAUGAUUGUCGGUUCGGCCGGAUCGGUGACAGGUGCUGCAUGGCUGUCGUCAGCUCGUGUCGUGAGAUGUUGGGUUAAGUCCCGCAACGAGCGCAACCCUCGCCCUUAGUUGCCAUCAUUAAGUUGGGCACUCUAAGGGGACUGCCGGUGAUAAGCCGAGAGGAAGGUGGGGAUGACGUCAAGUCCUCAUGGCCCUUACGGGCUGGGCUACACACGUGCUACAAUGGUGGUGUCAGUGGGCAGCGAGACCGCGAGGUCGAGCUAAUCUCCAAAAGCCAUCUCAGUUCGGAUUGCACUCUGCAACUCGAGUGCAUGAAGUUGGAAUCGCUAGUAAUCGUGGAUCAGCAUGCCACGGUGAAUACGUUCCCGGGCCUUGUACACACCGCCCGUCACAC